This 73-nucleotide transfer RNA is filed under the name Brevibacillus halotolerans. RNAcentral describes it as "tRNA-Thr". It matches the Rfam family "tRNA". From Rfam's summary of the family: Transfer RNA (tRNA) molecules are approximately 80 nucleotides in length. The record is from RNAcentral. Lineage: Bacteria; Bacillati; Bacillota; Bacilli; Caryophanales; Paenibacillaceae.
GCUCCUGUAGCUCAGUCGGUAGAGCGCUUCCAUGGUAAGGAAGAGGUCGCAGGUUCGAUUCCCGUCGGGUGCA